AUGGCGGCGGCGGCGGCGCUGGAAGCCUGGCAGGCGGCGUCUCGUCGGAGAAGGGGCUCGGCGGCGAUGCGUCCGCGGCGUAGGGAGGCGGCGGCGGCGGCGGCGGCGGCGGCCUGGGCCCCGGGAGCCCAGCCCGAGGUGGACGGCGGAGUCGUGCUUCGUCGCAUCCAGGAAGCCAGGGAGGACCUGCUUCUCUCUGAUUUCUGGAGUUCAGCACUAGAAACCGUCAACAGGUGUCUUAGGAAACAUCUGGAACAGCUGAAGGCCCCUGUGGGGCCUCUUUCAGAAGCCAUUGGAAGCCUGCAUCUCGACUCAUCACCAGGUGAGUCAGAUGUGGCCCCUGGCUCCGUCCCAGAAGAGACCCCAGUCACAGGAUCCUGCCGUUUGAAGUGUGUGUGUUACGGCGUUGGGAACUUCGCCACCUGCGUCAUAGCUAGAAACCAGCUCGCGUUUUUGCUUCUCUUUCUGGAAAAGUGCCAGAUACCCAGAAGUCACUGCUGGGUGUAUGACCCUCUGUUUAGCCAGCUGGAAAUUGCGGUUCUUAGCACCCUUGGUGUGGUUGUUCUCAGUGAGAACGAGGAAGGAAAACGGAGUGUGUACGGCGAGCCCACCGUCUUUUACAUGCUCCACUGUGGGACAGCGCUCUACAACAACCUUCUGUGGAGGAACUGGUCCAUAGAUGCCCUUUCCAAGAUGGUCAUCGUUGGGAACAGUUUCAGAGGACUCGAGGAAAGGUUGUUGACAAGGAUUCUGCAGAAACAUUAUCCGUAUGUUGCAAAGAUUGUGAAAGGAGUGGAGGAGCUGGCAUUCCCUCAGACCUCACAGUACACAGACGUAUUUAAUGACACCUCCGUCCACUGGUUUCCUGUACAAAAGCUAACACAACUCUCCACGGACACUUGGGCCUUUCGGGAAGAACCAGAUUACCAGGACUGUGAGGAUCUCGAGAUCAUCAGGAACAAGACGGAGGCUCCUUCAGCCCGACUGACUUGAACCCGCUGUGAUGUGUCGGCAGAGGCGGUCGCCAUGGAGGGACUGCAGUGAGUCCCCUUUCAGAGCAAGCAGGAAGUACAUCGGCUAUGAUUUAAAAUACUGUUUGUUUAUUCACAAGUCCGUCCGUGGCAGGUGCCGCGGUCUACUUGGCCAUGUCAAUCAGGCUCUGCAGGGAGGUGGGCACCCAGGUCUUCUCCCCCUGCACGAACACCACGCCCCGAUCGAUGUAGAUGACGAUGCGGCCGAAGGUGUACAGCUGCUUCCCUUCGUGUCGCUUCCCGAUGACGGGCAUGAAGACGAUGUUGUGCUCCUCGGCCUUGGUCUCAAUGAGGUCUUUAAAGUUCAUGGGCACGGAGCUGGCAGCCACACCGAUGCCUCUCUGGGCCAUGUUCUCAGCCUCCCGUCGCUCCUGCAUGGCCUCGUACUGGAAAUCCUUCCUGCGCUCCGUGUGGGUGAGAAGCCACAAAGGCAACCAAGGAAAUGAGCUAACUUCAACGUCUGAAGACGACUGAGGAAACGAGAACGUGGCUGUGCUGAAACAGAAGCUUCGCCAUCACCUGAGGUGAGAGUGUAAUCUCUGAACCACCUGUAUUAGAAAUACCUGGGGGAAAAUAACUGAGCAUGAGCCCUCAGGCCCCGUCUAGAUCUACAGCCUCAAAAUCUCCAGCCGUGACCUGGACAUCUGCGCUUCUCACCAGGUCCCCAAGUAACCUGAUACACAACACCCUGACCUUUGAGAACCCCACUCGACUUUCUGUAAUACACACACACUGUAUCUCCUACGCUAUGUCCCCUACAACAGACAUCUGUCACCAAUGUUCUCUGGCCACUAGGGACAGUAAUGGACAGUAAUGGAAAAGCCUCAGAGACUAUCUGUACCGAACAGUGGUAAUCAUCUUAACUGCAAUGCUGGGAUGCCCUGAGGGCCCACUCCUGCUCGAGAAGUGAGUUAGUGCAACCUUCCCACGAUUUAAGAGCCUUAAAGACUUUAACCUGGUGACUGCACUUCUAGGAAUCUAUCCUUAACAGCUGUAAAACAAAGACAAGCCUUUAACAGCUGUAAAACAAAGACAAGCCUUUAUACACAAACUAACCUGCCCCAAACCAAACCAGAAAUGUUAAAGGUCUAGCGACAGAAUGACAGGAACAUCAUUAAAUUCACUGACAGCAAGCUCCAGAAAGCUGGGGACAUGGUUCGAUUUAGCACUCUCAUGCCACAAGGAGCCCCUGGCACAGGGCUGGGACGGUGAUGAGCCUGAGCGUGCGUGCAGGGAGCGGGCACGGGCUGCGCCACGCCACAGACGCAGCACGCACAGAGCCAGGAUGCAAGGCCAGCGGGAACCUUACGCGCAAAUGUUCGGUGACUGCUCUGGUGUGCGGGUAACUGUGUCUUCCAAGCCCCCAUCCUGGACCAGGCGUCCACGGGCCCCGUACCUUGACCUGAGAAAGCUCCUUCUGGGGAGCAGUGAGCUUCUUGCUAAUCCUGCCCUUGGCUUUCAACUCUUCCACUGUCUUGUAAGAGUAUUUGGGCUUCUUCUUGCUUCCGCUGGGGUCUUUCCUCCACUGGCUCAGCUCCUUCUGAAAUUCCUGAAUCAGAGGGAUACAGUCCAUCACAAGAAGGAAGGGCCACUUUUUACCACAGCUGGGGUCACUGAGAAGGUUCUGUGCCAAGGACCGUGCUGUGUAACACUGAACCCAGCCAAGGACACUGCUUGACACCCGCUCCCCGCCCUUACCAAUGCUGAGACCCCCUUCCCCACACACCCACCCUUAUGUCCU
RNA transcript from Eubalaena glacialis (North Atlantic right whale), 2772 nucleotides. It is a transcript of the gene named SRR1 domain containing, with no coding region annotated. The record is from RefSeq and is a predicted model, not a curated record. The transcript has 8 exons. NCBI's taxonomy places the organism in Eukaryota, Metazoa, Chordata, Mammalia, Artiodactyla, Balaenidae.